GACGAACGCUGGCGGCGCGCUUAACACAUGCAAGUCGAGCGAGAACCAGCCCUUCGGGGCUGGGGAAAGCGGCGAACGGGUGAGUAACACGUGGGUAAUCUGCCCUCGGCACCGGAAUAGCCCGGGGAAACCCGGAUUAAUGCCGGAUGGCCUCUCGAGCUCUCGAGCUCGUGAGAAAAGGUAGCUUUGGCCUCCGGCCGAGGAUGAGCCCGCGGUCGAUUAGCUUGUUGGUGAGGUAAUGGCNCACCAAGGCGACGAUCGAUAGCUGGUCUGAGAGGACGAUCAGCCACACUGGGACUGAGACACGGCCCAGACUCCUACGGGAGGCAGCAGUGGGGAAUCUUGCGCAAUGGGCGAAAGCCUGACGCAGCGACGCCGUGUGCGGGAAGAAGGCCUGGUGUAACGC
RNAcentral lists this ribosomal RNA (406 nucleotides) under uncultured bacterium. Its description in RNAcentral is "bacterial SSU rRNA". It matches the Rfam family "Bacterial small subunit ribosomal RNA", at positions 28 to 431 of the family's 1533-position model. The record is from RNAcentral.